GGAGGACUCAGGGGAGCGAGAGGGAGGGCUAGAGAGGACCCAAUGCCUAUAAACAGUGUAUAUGUGACCAGAUGUCCUAACUGGAAAGGAAGACAAGGCACUGCAAAAUGUAGGCCAUUCCAGGGAAAUGUUGGACAUUCCAAAAUCAAAGCUCAAAACACUCAUAUAAAUCUAAAAUUCAUGCUUCUUGGUCACGCUCAUAAUGGAGGACAGUUUGGGAUUCCUCCUGGACAGGAGGUUGAAAGGUAGGAUAUGUCCUGGAAAAGGAGGACGCCUAGUCAUCACUUAAUGGGCUUCAUAGUCAUGCUCUACAUGGAAGACGUUUUGGGAUUUCACAGUGACAGAAAGUUGAAAGGUAGGACAUAGCUGGGAAAAGUAAGAUGCCUUGUACUCAGUGGGCUUCUUAGUCAUGCUCUACGCAGAAGACAUUUUGGGAUUCCUCUUGGACAGAAGACAGAAAUGUCAGACACGUCUGGGAAAAGCAGGAUGCCUUCUACCCAAUAGGCUUCUUAGUUAUACUCUCCAUGAAAGACAUUUUGGGAUUCCUCCUGGACAGAAGGUUGAAAGGUAGGACAUGUCUGGGAAAAGCAGGACACCUUCUACUCAUUGGGGUUCUUAGUCAUGCUCUAUGUGGAGGACAUUUUGGGAUUCCUCUUGGACAGAAGGCGGAAAUGUCGGACAUGUCUGGGGAAAAGAGGACACCUGGUCACCCUGUACUCAUUGGGCUUUUUAGUAAUGCUCUGCAUGGAGGACAGUUUGCAAUUCCUCCUGGCCAGAAGGCUGAAAGGAAUGGAAAUUGGAGCAUGGUGUGCGAGAGCUCCAUAUCAAAGAGAGAGCAAAGGCGUCCCUUUUCUAACUAGGGAUUUCGCUUCCAGGACCAGACUUAGCAGGCCGAGCGUGAUCUAAAAAGCAGAGGGCCUCCGGGAAGACGCGGCGCACGGUUUGAUGCUUACUCUUGGGCCAUGAAAGGUGGACCGGUUGCGCUUUGAUGGAACACGCGGUGCUCAGGGUGGCACGCGGAGCAGGGAAAUUAAAGCCAGCCUGCGUGUUUUUGAAACAAGGAGCGAUAGAGUCGAACUCGGACCCAGUGUGCUUUCAGAAGGCCUACAGGCAAGAAUUAUUAAAGUCGGUGGCGUACUUUGUGAAGUCAGAAUGGUUGGAUUAAAUUGGAAUGCUGGGACCGGUUUGACACCAGUUUAACUGCCAUGGCUGAAUGCUAUUAUGUUUAUAUUCCACCCUUCUCCCAGGACUGGGACUCAUGGCGGCUUACUGGGAAUGGUAGUUUGCCACAACAAAUUCCACUUGUCACCAUUCCUAGGAUUCCAUAGCACUGAGCGAUGGUUGCUA
Molecule: long non-coding RNA, 1347 nt
Organism: Sceloporus undulatus (fence lizard)
Lineage: Eukaryota; Metazoa; Chordata; Lepidosauria; Squamata; Phrynosomatidae
Exons: 3
Source: RefSeq, a predicted model, not a curated record